RNAcentral lists this ribosomal RNA (468 nucleotides) under uncultured bacterium. RNAcentral describes it as "partial 16S ribosomal RNA". It matches the Rfam family "Bacterial small subunit ribosomal RNA", at positions 28 to 507 of the family's 1533-position model. The record is from RNAcentral.
GACGAACGCUGGCGGCGUGCUUAACACAUGCAUGUCGAACGGAAAGGCCCUGCUUUUGUGGGGUGCUCGAGUGGCGAACGGGUGAGUAACACGUGAGUAACCUGCCCUUGACUUUGGGAUAACUUCAGGAAACUGGGGCUAAUACCGGAUAGGAGCUCCUGCUGCAUGGUGGGGGUUGGAAAGUUUCGGCGGUUGGGGAUGGACUCGCGGCUUAUCAGCUUGUUGGCGGGGUAGUGGCUUACCAAGGCUUUGACGGGUAGCCGGCCUGAGAGGGUGACCGGCCACAUUGGGACGGAGAUACGGCCCAGCCUCCUACGGGAGGCAGCAGUGGGGAAUAUUGCACAAUGGGCGGAAGCCUGAUGCAGCAACGCCGCGUGCGGGAUGACGGCCUUCGGGUUGUAAACCGCUUUCGCCUGUGACGAAGCGUGAGUGACGGUAAUGGGUAAAGAAGCACCGGCUAACUACGUG